Molecule: regulatory RNA element, 145 nt
Organism: Chania multitudinisentens RB-25
Lineage: Bacteria; Pseudomonadati; Pseudomonadota; Gammaproteobacteria; Enterobacterales; Yersiniaceae
Rfam family: Leucine operon leader
About the family: At least 6 amino acid operons are known to be regulated by attenuation. In each a leader sequence of 150-200 bp is found upstream of the first gene in the operon.
Source: Rfam
GAGAAGCUGACCAUAAUGAUCCGUACUCAACGUCUACUAGGCCUACUACUUAACGCAUCUUUAUUGCGCGGUAUGUUGGUGGACAGAGUUCAGAGCUGAUUCAGCCCAUCAAUCAUCAGACCCGCGCUACUGCGCGGGUUUUUUU